AUGCUCUUCAUAUAUUAUACAAUGCUAUUUUCAUUUUCUAUCAGUUGCCUUGGCGCAGUGGUAAAGCUGCUGCCUUGUGACCAUGAGGUCAUGGGUUCAAGUCCUGGAAACAGUCUCUUACAGAAAUGUAGGGAAAGGCUGCGUACUAUAGACCCAAAGUGGUCGGACCCUUCCCUGGACCCUGCGCAAGCGGGAGCUACAUGCACCAGGUUGCCCUUUUUAUCAGUUGUCUCGGACAUGUGUUUUGAUGUGUUCUGUUCUCAUGCUACCUAUACCAAGGGGUUGCCAAAGUUCAGAAGUAGGCUACGGGUAAGCUCUCCUCAACUAUCAGAUAAUUCUCACUCCUUCAGUAUAAUGGUGUUUGUUAAUUCCCAAUCCAUGGACACAUGCUUCCUACCCAUUCAAUUUGUUCAUGUUCUAGAUAAAGGAGUUUGGAUUUAA
This 441-nucleotide ribosomal RNA is filed under the name Triticum aestivum (bread wheat). RNAcentral describes it as "partial small subunit ribosomal RNA". Lineage: Eukaryota; Viridiplantae; Streptophyta; Magnoliopsida; Poales; Poaceae. The record is from RNAcentral.